UAAAACUAUUUUCUCCCGAUGAGGAGGAGCAGGAAAGCAUAAUAAUAAUAAGUACAGUACAGUAAGAAAAGACUGAGCUUUAACAGAUAAACACUCCUGGAGUUCCCCGCCCUGUCUGUCUGCAUGUUGCCCCAUGCUGGGAGUGAUAAUAGCUGGUCAUGGCCCUCUCUCUGGCAGUCAGCUGCUCUCUGUACUGAGCCAGGGAAAUGGAGGGGGCCAGGGGACCAAGGCAGGCUGUGUUGCUGUGUGGACAGGGGUCAAUGGGCUGGUGUUGUAACAAAACCCUGGGUCACCAUUUAUGUUUUACCUUGUGUAACAUGACUCAGAGUCUCUAUUUGGGGGAGAGGACAAGUUGAAGAAUAAAUGUCACACAUUCCAUUAAAACUGAUUUGAAUUAAUGCCUGAGCAAUGUAGCAUACUUUUGGAGUGAACCAAUCGUCCGUUCACGAAACCCCUCCUCAAAACAGCGAUUGUCCAAUUAUAGCUUAGCAACUGUAACUAGGCACAGCAGGUCUGUCAAGCUAGGGAUUUCUCUCUCCAAAACCCCAAAUACAACAGCAAAAAUGUAAGGAAUGGAUUAAACAGUGUGUCUGUCACAGUGUGUCAGUGUUUGUCUGCCCUAAGCAUGUGAUGUGCAAUUCCUGAGAGAGACCAAACUGGUUAAGGAUCACUGCUGGGGAACUUCCUUUGCUCAGGUUGCCAGAAAACAGCCGUUUCAUCUCCUGCACAGUGAAGCAGCGCGGUUUAGCAUGGAAAGCAGAUCAAAAGCUCGGCAAUAGCUAAGGUGACAAUGACAGAGACUCACCCAUAUCAACACUGGCACACCAUCUUCUGAUAAGUUAAUGGAAAAGCUUCAAGAGUGCCACAGUCAGCAGCAGCAUCAUUACCUUCCUAAAAAGUGAGAAAUCAAGAUAUUGCUCCAAAUAUGUGCUUUUUUUUAUCCAAUAACCAUUCAAGGGCACUACUGGCUUUCAGUUUUAUUCUGGAACACAGAUUGUACAUAAUGGUUUUCAUCAAUAAAGAAGCAUACCUCAAACAUUAAAA
This is a long non-coding RNA of Siniperca chuatsi (mandarin fish), 1044 nucleotides long. RefSeq lists it as uncharacterized. The transcript has 3 exons. NCBI's taxonomy places the organism in Eukaryota, Metazoa, Chordata, Actinopteri, Centrarchiformes, Sinipercidae. The record is from RefSeq and is a predicted model, not a curated record.